This 1066-nucleotide ribosomal RNA is filed under the name Ophioceras dolichostomum. Its description in RNAcentral is "SSU rRNA". It matches the Rfam family "Eukaryotic small subunit ribosomal RNA", at positions 52 to 1130 of the family's 1831-position model. Lineage: Eukaryota; Fungi; Ascomycota; Sordariomycetes; Magnaporthales; Ophioceraceae. The record is from RNAcentral.
UGCAUGUCUAAGUAUAAGCAAUUAUACGGCGAAACUGCGAAUGGCUCAUUAAAUCAGUUAUUGUUUAUUUGAUAGUACCUUACUACUUGGAUAACCGUGGUAAUUCUAGAGCUAAUACAUGCUAAAAACCCCGACUUCGGGAGGGGUGUAUUUAUUAGAUUAAAAACCAAUGCCCUCCGGGGCUUCUUGGUGAUUCAUGAUAACUUCUCGGAUCGCACGGCCUUGCGCCGGCGACGGUUCAUUCAAAUUUCUGCCCUAUCAACUUUCGACGGCUGGGUAUUGGCCAGCCGUGGUGACAACGGGUAACGGAGGGUUAGGGCUCGACCCCGGAGAAAACGCCUGAGAAACGGCGUUUACAUCCAAGGAAGGCAGCAGGCGCGCAAAUUACCCAAUGCCGACUCGGCGAGGUAGUGACGAUAAAUACUGGUACGGGGCUCUUUCGGGUCUCGUAACUGGAAUGAGUACAAUUUAAAUCCCUUAACGAGGAACAAUUGGAGGGCAAGUCUGGUGCCAGCAGCCGCGGUAAUUCCAGCUCCAAUAGCGUAUAUUAAAAUUGUUGAGAUUAAAAAGCUCGUAGUUGAACCUUGGGCCUGGCUGGCCGGUCCGCCUCACCGCGUGCACUGGUCCGGCCGGGCCUUUCCCUCCGGGGAACCCCAUGCCCUUCACUGGGCGUGGCGGGGAACCGGGACUUUUACUUUGAAAAAAUUAGAGUGUUCAAAGCAGGCCUAUGCUCGGAUACAUUAGCAUGGAAUAAUAGAAUAGGACGUGUGGUUCUAUUUUGUUGGUUUCUAGGACCGCCGUAAUGAUUAAUAGGGACAGUCGGGGGCGUCAGUAUUCAAUUGUCAGAGGUGAAAUUCUUGGAUUUAUUGAAGACUAACUACUGCGAAGGCAUUCGUCAAGGAUGUUUUCAUUAAUCAGGAACGAAAGUUAGGGGAUCGAAGACGAUCAGAUACCGUCGUAGUCUUAACCGUAAACUAUUAAGUCUAGGGAUCGGACGGUGGUUCUAUUUGCCCCGUCCGGCACCUUACACGAAAGUAUAAGAGCUUAUUCUGGGGAAAAUACGGUA